GUAGGUGAACCUGCGGAAGGAUCAUUACUAGAGCUAGGGAUAGACCACGUUCUGUAGAGGGCGUGAAUCGUCGGGCUUAGGCCCGGUCCUAACACUCCACCCUUGAAUAAAUUACCUUUGUUGCUUUGGCGGGCCGCCUUGUGCCAGCGGCUUCGGCUGCUGAGUGCCCGCCAGAGGACCACAACUCUUGUUUUUAGUGAUGUCUGAGUACUAUAUAAUAGUUAAAACUUUCAACAACGGAUCUCUUGGU
RNAcentral lists this unclassified non-coding RNA (250 nucleotides) under plant metagenome. RNAcentral's name for it is "partial contains small subunit ribosomal RNA, internal transcribed spacer 1, and 5.8S ribosomal RNA". The record is from RNAcentral.